GAAUUUUUUUUUUGGCGGGAAACUUUUUUUUCGAAAUUUUUGGCGGGAAGUUUUUUCCGAAAUUUUUUGGCGAAAAAUUUUAUUUUAGAAUAUUUUAGGCGAAAAAUAUUAAUACUUCAUUUUAUUAACCUAAAUCAAUUUACAAAUAGGGGUAAAAUAGUCAUUAAAAAUUUAAAGAGGUUAUAAAUGAAAAUAGUAAAUAGAAAAAUGUAGAAUUAAAAAGGGGUAAUGUGAAAAGGGCAUUAGAAAGAAUUUUUUUUU
Molecule: small RNA, 261 nt
Filed under: Arabidopsis thaliana (thale cress)
Lineage: Eukaryota; Viridiplantae; Streptophyta; Magnoliopsida; Brassicales; Brassicaceae
Description: ATSL284320
Source: RNAcentral